AUGUUCCGUUGCCUCGGCGCCAAAGCCCAAAGGAAGGUUUACAGAAUCCAGUCAGAUUGAAGCAAGACGCCACAGCCGGAUUUCUGUACAUCCAUUUGCACAGUACUGUACAACAAGUUUCCUUUGCUGAGUUCCUUGGUCAGGGGUUUAAACACAUUUUCUGUCCAGUACUGCAGUUGGAAUUUUCCAUCAACAUUUUUAUGGUAAGUAACUGCAAAACAUUUAUCACUACACAUUACAGUAAACAGUUUCUUAACUGAAUAUGUUGCUCUGAAAAAUCUAAAUAGUCCCAAAAAAGGAAAUUUACUCACUAUUCACUCACCAUGUUUCCAUGGUUCCAAACCUUUGAGUUUCUUUUAUCUGU
Non-coding RNA from Danio rerio (zebrafish), 364 nucleotides. NCBI's taxonomy places the organism in Eukaryota, Metazoa, Chordata, Actinopteri, Cypriniformes, Danionidae. The record is from Ensembl.